ACUGCUCAGUAACACGUGGACAACCUACCCUAUGGAGGGGGAUAACCCCGGGAAACUGGGGAUAAUACCCCAUAGACUAUGAAUGCUGGAAUGCUUUGUAGUCGAAAGGUCCGCCGCCAUAGGAUGGGUCUGCGGCCGAUUAGGUUGUUGUUGGGGUAACGGCCCAACAAGCCUGUAAUCGGUACGGGUUGUGGGAGCAAGAGCCCGGAGAUGGAUUCUGAGACACGAAUCCAGGCCCUACGGGGCGCAGCAGGCGCGAAAACUUUACAAUGCGGGAAACCGUGAUAAGGGAACUCCGAGUGCCCGUAAAAUCGGGCUGUCCAUCUGUUUAAAUAACAGGUGAAGAAAGGGCCGGGCAAGACCGGUGCCAGCCGCCGCGGUAAUACCGGCGGCUCGAGUGGUGGCCACUAUUACUGGGCUUAAAGCGUUCGUAGCUGGUCUGUUAAGUCUCUGGGGAAAUCUACUGGCUUAACCAAUAGGCGUUUCAGGGAUACUGGCAGACUAGGGACCGGGAGAGGUGAGGGGUACUCCAGGGGUAGGAGUGAAAUCCUGUAAUCCUUGGGGGACCACCUGUGGCGAAGGCGCCUCACCAGAACGGCUCCGACAGUGAGGGACGAAAGCUGGGGGAGCAAACCGGAUUAGAUACCCGGGUAGUCCCAGCCGUAAACGAUGCGCGUUAGGUGUAUCGGUGACCACGAGUCACCGAGGUGCCGAAGAGAAAUCGUGAAACGUGCCGCCUGGGAAGUACGGUCGCAAGGCUGAAACUUAAAGGAAUUGGCGGGGGAGCAC
This 789-nucleotide ribosomal RNA is filed under the name uncultured archaeon. RNAcentral describes it as "bacterial SSU rRNA". It matches the Rfam family "Archaeal small subunit ribosomal RNA", at positions 85 to 879 of the family's 1478-position model. The record is from RNAcentral.